Molecule: ribosomal RNA, 1335 nt
Filed under: Junonia orithya
Lineage: Eukaryota; Metazoa; Arthropoda; Insecta; Lepidoptera; Nymphalidae
Description: 16S ribosomal RNA
Source: RNAcentral
GGGGGAAAAUUAAUAAAUUAAAUUUAAUAAAAAAAAUUUUAAUAUUAAAAAGAAAAUGGGGGUUUGAGUAUUUUUAAUAGAAAAAAUUAAUAGUUUUAUAGUUAAAUAUUACUGUAAAGGAAUUUAUAAAUAAAUGAAAUAUAAUUAAUAAAAAAGUAAAUUUAAUUUAUUGUAUCUUGUGUAUCAGAGUUUAUUAAAUAAUAAUAAUUUAUUUAAAUAAAUCUCGAAUUUAAAAGAGUUAAUUAGUUAAAAAAGUUAAUGUUGUAUAAUUAUUUUAAAUAAUUAAUUAGAAAUGAAAUGUUAAUCGUUUUUAAAUAUAUCUAGUUUUUUCAGAAAAAAAUUUAAUUUUAAAUUUAAAUAAUUUUAUAAUUAUUUAAUUAAUUAUAAAAAUUUAAAUUUUAAUAUUUUAGGGGAUAAGCUUUAAAUUAAAAAUUUAUAAUUAAUAAAAUAGUUAAAAUUAAAAUUUUUAAAAUUUAUAUUGUUUAAAAAUUAUAGUUUAUUAUAAAAAAUUUUAUUUAAAAAUAAAUUUAAAUAAAAAAAUUUAAAUUUUUAUGAAAAAAUAAUUUAUAAUUUAAUAAAAUUAGAAAUAAUGAUAAAAUUAGUAUAAUAUAAUAAAUAAAAAAAAAAUUAUAAAUAAAUAAGUUAAAGGAAUUCCGCAAAAUUUUAUAUCCCCUUGUUUACCAAAAACAUGCCUUUUUGAUAAUAAUUUAAAGCCUAACCUGCCCCCUGAUAAUAUAUUAAAGGGCUGCAGUAUAUUGACUGUCCAAAGGUACCAUAACCAUUAGCCUUUUAAUUGAAGAUUUGUAUGAAAGAUUUGAUGAAAUAUAAACUGCCCCUAAUUUAUGUUUAGAAAUUAAUUUUUUAGUUAAAAAGCUAAAAUAAUAUUAAAAGACGAGAAGACCCUAUAGAGUUUUAUAUUUUGUUUAAUUAAUAUUAAACAUAUAAUUAAAUAUAUUAAUUAAACAAAAUAUUGUGCUGGGGUGAUAGAAAAAUUCAAUAAACUUUUUUUCAAAAUUAAACACAAACAAGUGGUUAGUUGAUCCAUUAAUAAUGAUUACAAGAAAAAACCACCUUACGGAUAACACCGUAAUAUUUUUUUUUUAGUACGUAUAAAAAAAAAAAGUUUGCGACCUCGAUGUUGGAUUAAGAUAAAAUUUAAAUGCAAAAGUUUAAAAUUUUGAUCUGUUCGAUCAUUAAAAUCUUACAUGAUCUGAGUUCAAACCGGUGUAAGCCAGGUUGGUUUCUAUCUUUAAUAAAGAAAAAUAUUUUAGUACGAAAGGAUCAAAUAUUUAAAAUAAUUUUAUAUAAAUGAAUGAAUAUUAAUAAUAUAGUUUU